RNAcentral lists this ribosomal RNA (522 nucleotides) under uncultured bacterium. RNAcentral's name for it is "bacterial SSU rRNA". It matches the Rfam family "Bacterial small subunit ribosomal RNA", at positions 28 to 530 of the family's 1533-position model. The record is from RNAcentral.
GACGAACGCUGGCGGCGUGCCUAACACAUGCAAGUCGAGCGAGGGCAGGCUUCGGCCUGACCCGAGCGGCGGACGGGUGAGUAACACGUGAGUAAUCUGUCUCUGUGCGGGGGACAACCCGGGGAAACUCGGGCUAAUACCGCAUGGGCGGUGUCCAGGAUCUGGGUGCCGGGAAAGGUGGCCUCUUAACAAUGCUGCCGUGCAGAGAGGAGCCCGCGGGCUAUCAGCUAAUUGGCAGGGUAACGGCCUACCAAGGCGACGACGGCUACGGGGUCUGAGAGGACGACCCCGCACAUUGGAACUGAGACACGGUCCAGACUCCUACGGGAGGCAGCAGUGGGGAAUAUUGGGCAAUGGCCGAAAGGCUGACCCAGCGACGCCGCGUGCGGGAGGAAGCCCUUCGGGGUGUAAACCGCUGUCAGGGGGGACGAAUGACUCCGUGGGGAAUACGUCGCGGGGAGUGACGGUACCCCCAAAGGAAGCACCGGCUAACUCUGUGCCAGCAGCCGCGGUAAUACAGGA